CCAGCCUCAGCUUCCUCUGAAUCCACGGAUUUCCACAGCCAAUCUGAGGCUUGCUCAUCAAGAAGAGACCAGAUCACAGUAUUACACAACAUGCGAUCCGUCUGCAUUUGUGAUGCAACUGAACUUCAGGCAAUAAUCAUCCUUUGGCUUGCAAGAAGAGAAGUGGACGAUAAAUUGUCUAGCUUCACAGGUGCAGUACCAUCCAUCAUGAAAGUUCAGUUACACAGUUCUUCAGGCUUGUCAUUAAGGAAAUCGCUCCAGAGGUUUCUCCAGAAGAGAAAAGACAGAAUUCAAUCAGCUACUCCUUACAAGCACAAAUUCCUUUGAAAUUGUGGAGCAUAAUUAAAUAAAAUGGAGGAUAUAGUGGAGAAGGAUGAUGUACACCUCCUUCCUAGUACUUAAUAGUUAUGAUUUGGAUCCAAGAAGCUCUUUGUUGGGAGAAUUUAGAGAAGGCAGACAAGAGGGUUCUGUGGGAGUUGGGAUUUUUACACUCCACGAUUGCACGCAAGAAAAUGUGUUUACAAGCAUGGAGGCACAUC
Non-coding RNA from Coffea arabica (coffee), 539 nucleotides. The record is from RefSeq and is a predicted model, not a curated record. NCBI's taxonomy places the organism in Eukaryota, Viridiplantae, Streptophyta, Magnoliopsida, Gentianales, Rubiaceae.